GGGGAAUAUUGGACAAUGGGCGCAAGCCUGAUCCAGCAAUGCCGCGUGGGUGAAGAAGGCCUGCGGGUUGUAAAGCCCUUUAAGCGGGGAGGAACGCCGGAUCGCGAAUAGCGUUUCGGACUGACGUUACCCGCGGAAUAAGCACCGGCUAACUCCGUGCCAGCAGCCGCGGUAAUACGGGGGGUGCGAGCGUUAAUCGGAAUUACUGGGCGUAAAGCGUGCGUAGGCGGCGCAAUCAGUCAGCCGUGAAAGCCCCGGGCUUAACCUGGGAAUGGCGGUUGAGACGGUUGGGCUAGAGUGGGCUAGAGGAUCGUGGAACUCCCGGUGUAGCGGUGAAAUGCGUAGAGAUCGGGAAGAACACCGAUGGCGAAGGCAGCGGUCUGGGGCCACACUGACGCUGAGGCACGACGGCGUGGGGAGCAAAC
RNAcentral lists this ribosomal RNA (425 nucleotides) under uncultured bacterium. RNAcentral's name for it is "bacterial SSU rRNA". It matches the Rfam family "Bacterial small subunit ribosomal RNA", at positions 356 to 773 of the family's 1533-position model. The record is from RNAcentral.